AUACGGAGGGGGCAAGCGUUAAUCGGAAUUACUGGGCGUAAAGCGCGCGUAGGCGGUCAGGUCAGUCGGAUGUGAAAGCCCCGGGCUCAACCUGGGAACUGCAUUCGAUACUGCCUGACUAGAGUAUGGUAGAGGGAAGUGGAAUUUCCGGUGUAGCGGUGAAAUGCGUAGAUAUCGGAAGGAAAACCAGUGGCGAAGGCGGCUUCCUGGACCAAUACUGACGCUGAGGUGCGAAAGCGUGGGGAGCAAACAGGAUUAGAAACCCUAGUAGUCC
This 274-nucleotide ribosomal RNA is filed under the name uncultured bacterium. RNAcentral describes it as "partial 16S ribosomal RNA". It matches the Rfam family "Bacterial small subunit ribosomal RNA", at positions 523 to 796 of the family's 1533-position model. The record is from RNAcentral.